Molecule: ribosomal RNA, 520 nt
Filed under: uncultured Glomus
Lineage: Eukaryota; Fungi; Glomeromycota; Glomeromycetes; Glomerales; Glomeraceae
Description: SSU rRNA
Rfam family: Eukaryotic small subunit ribosomal RNA
Source: RNAcentral
AGCAGCCGCGGUAAUUCCAGCUCCAAUAGCGUAUAUUAAAGUUGUUGCAGUUAAAAAGCUCGUAGUUGAAUUUCGGGAUCAAUACGUUGGUCGUGCUUUCGGGUACGUACUGGCGUCAUUGGUUUCUCUCUUCUGACGAACCAUGAUGUCAUUAGUUUGGUGUUAUGGGGAGUUAGGACUGUUACUUUGAAAAAAUUAGAGUGUUUAAAGCAAGCUAACGCUUGAAUACAUUUAGCAUGGAAUAAUGAAAUAGGACGUUCGAUCCUAUUUUGUUGGUUUCUAGGAUUGACGUAAUGAUUAAUAGGGAUAGUUGGGGGCAUUAGUAUUCAAUUGUCAGAGGUGAAAUUCUUGGAUUUAUUGAAGACUAACUACUGCGAAAGCAUUUUGCCAAGGAUGUUUUCAUUAAUCAAGAACGAAAGUUAGGGGAUCGAAGACGAUCAGAUACCGUCGUAGUCUUAACCAUAAACUAUGCCGACUAGGGAUCGGAUGAUGUUAAUUUUUUCAAUGACUCAUUCGGCGC